This 546-nucleotide unclassified non-coding RNA is filed under the name Hevea brasiliensis (rubber tree). The record is from RNAcentral. Lineage: Eukaryota; Viridiplantae; Streptophyta; Magnoliopsida; Malpighiales; Euphorbiaceae.
UUUAUACACUUCAGCAGUUGUAACUGCUUAUCUAAUUAAUUCCAGCUGUUUGUUGACUUCUAUAACUGCCAACAGUUACUCUCCUUCAGUUACAGCAGUCUUUCCCUCCUUUUUACUCCUAAACUUCCUCCUAUAAUACCUAACAAACCUCUAUAUUAUGUUAAUAUAUCUGUAAAAUUAAAAAGAUUGGCUAAAAUUGAUAAUACCUUCAUUUUUUUAUCAUUUAGUAUCAAUUACAAUUGAAUUGCUAAAAUUAAAACCAAACUCCAGAGGUGAUAGAAUUGAUAAAAAUAGAAGUUUUGAGCUUUGACUAAAAUUUAUAAUUUGUGCAAAGGUUGUGGUUUUUUUAGGUCAUUCAUCCUUAUUAUAUUAAUGUAUUAUAUUUCUCCAGAAAAUAUUAGACUCAGUUAGCCAUAUAAGAUUACAUUUCCUCCAUUUUCCUAUCAUUCCUCACAUUCUACAUUUUAAGCGUGGAUUUCAAGUCUUUGAUAGUCUAAUAAAAUAGAAUAUGGUAAUCAUUGGUGUGUUCAGCAAACAAGAUGGUAG